RNAcentral lists this ribosomal RNA (478 nucleotides) under uncultured bacterium. RNAcentral's name for it is "partial 16S ribosomal RNA". It matches the Rfam family "Bacterial small subunit ribosomal RNA", at positions 28 to 507 of the family's 1533-position model. The record is from RNAcentral.
GAUGAACGCUGGCGGCGUGCCUAAUACAUGCAAGUCGAGCGAACAGAUGAGGAUCUUGCUCCUCUGACGUUACCGGCGGACGGGUGAGUAACACGUGGAUAACCUACCUAUAAGACUUGGAUAACUUCGGGAAACCGGAGCUAAUACCGGAUAAUAUAUUGAACCGCAUGGUUCGAUAGUUAAAGCCGGUUUUGCUGUCAGUUUAGGAUGGGUUCGCGCUGCAUCAGCUAGUUGGUAAGGUAAUGGCCUACCAAGGCGACGAUGGGUAGCCGGCCUGAGAGGGUGGACGGCGACAUUGGGACUGAGAGGCGGCCCAGACGCCUACGGGAGGGAGCAGGGGGGAAGAUUGCAGAAUGGGCGCAAGGCGGAUGCAGAGACGCCGCGUGGGGGAUGACGGGCUUCGGGUUGUAAACUACUUUCGCAAGGGACGAAGCUUUUUGUGACGGUACCUAGAUAAGAAGCACCGGCUAACUACGUG